GAGAGUGGGUCGUCCGCAACGAGCGCAACCCCUAUCCUAGUAUGCCAGCACAUCAUGGUGGGAACUCUAGGCCAGACUGCCUUUGUUAAGCAGGAGGAAGGUGGGGAUGACGUCAAGUCCUCAUGGCCCUUACGUCCGGGGCUGCACACGUGCUACAAUGGCCGGUACAAAGGGCUGCGAUACCGCGAGGUGGAGCCAAUCCCAAAAAACCGGUCUCAGUUCGGAUUGGAGUCUGCAACUCGACUCCAUGAAGGUGGAAUCGCUAGUAAUCGUGGAUCAGCAUGCCACGGUGAAUACGUUCCCGGGUCUUGUACACACCGCCCGUCAAGCGAUGAAAGUCGGGAAUACCCGAAGUCGGUCGCCCAACCCGCAAGGGAGGGAGCCGCCGAAGGUAGAUCCGGUAAUCGGCGCUAAGUCGUAACAAGGUAGCCGUAUCGGAAGGUGCGGCUGGAUCACCUCCUUU
Molecule: ribosomal RNA, 463 nt
Filed under: uncultured bacterium
Lineage: Bacteria
Description: bacterial SSU rRNA
Rfam family: Bacterial small subunit ribosomal RNA
Source: RNAcentral